Long non-coding RNA from Prinia subflava (tawny-flanked prinia), 1412 nucleotides. RefSeq lists it as uncharacterized. The transcript is spliced from 3 exons. The record is from RefSeq and is a predicted model, not a curated record. NCBI's taxonomy places the organism in Eukaryota, Metazoa, Chordata, Aves, Passeriformes, Cisticolidae.
UGUGUGGCUAGCUGCGAGGACAGCGUGUUUUCUCUUUAUGUGAGGGGGCUGAACUCCACAGCUGGAAACGUUUGAAGCAGCCCGGAGAGCCAGGCGCGGGCAGCGGCGGCUGAGCAGUGCUAUCUGGGAUGAGCACAAAAGGAAAGAAAAUCAACAGUAUAAUUUGGAUGUAUUCAUAGGAAGAAACUUCUGCUCUGGAAGAGUCGUGCCCCUUCAGACACAGCAGUACCAGUGAUCAUGAGAUUUUCCAUCUUCAGGUUGAUCAACAUACAAAGUCCUCUUGACAAGCAGGUGAAAUAAAGGAUUUUAGUACAAGACUGACAAACACAUAAAGUUGGUCUGUCCCACUUUAUGUGGUGGAUUGACCUUGGUCAAGUGCCAAUACUUACACAGAUGCUUGUUUAUUCCCUGUUUCAUGUGAGAAGGGAAUAAGUGAGUGGCUGUGUGGGUGUUCAGGUGUUGUCUCAGGUUCACUCACUACAGUCCUCUCAGACCCAGUACAAAAGGCUUCCUCAUCUCAACGAGGUUUUGAUGCUUUCCGUGGUGACAGUGCAUAUCCUGGGUUGCCUAGUAUUGCUCUAACACGAGCAAAUAGAAACGUCACCAAAGUUUGAGCAGCCAGCAGAAGGUCCACCUCAUACUCAGGGAAAAAUCCAGAUACCUGAAAGGACACUUCCUCUUAACUAAGGCAGGUAAGGUUCAGAUGAAUUGUUACUUUGAAUCAUCUGUUUCCUUCUGAUGGGAACUUUGCCUCCCUAGCUCAGUGCUAAGUGGGGUAUUUCAGACACCCAAAGACAUGUGAGGUGAAGCCAAGUAACUACUUACACCUUUGUCUGAUUUGAAUUGCUCUUUUUUGCAUGCCUUUUAAAACCUCUUCAGUUGUGACAAUAGACACGCCCUGUAUUCUAGUUCCCCCUUAUCCCAGAAUUAAAGAUUAUCUCCUACUUUUGUUUUUAUAUCUUCAGUAUUUUUUCCUGUGUUCUGACACUAUUUUUAAUAAUACAUACCACUUUCUUCAGUAGCAGUUAUUACAUAUAUUAGCUGUAGCUGUACUGGUUCAGCUGUAGGUUGAGAAGGCCCAGCAAAAGAAAAAUGCUGAAAAUUCAUCUGUGACCUGAGCUAAAUUUUCUCAUGUUUCUAUGCUUACUUCCCCAUUUCAUAGCUAAUCACCAUAUGUAGCUCAAAGUAUUUCCACUCCUCUCCCUUUGCUAAUGAAAAGAAUAUUUUUUGUUGAGGAGCAGAAGGAAAACUUUCCUUACUUGUUUGUAAGGACAAGAUACCGAUACUGUCCCACUUCUGUCCAAAGAAAUGUAAUAAAAAUGGAUUUUUUGUUUGAGACAAUUGUUUUUUGUUUUGUUUGUACAAUUGUUUGUAACUUUUAGAGAAUUUAUUUUCAUUGGGGUUUUUUGGCA